RNAcentral lists this ribosomal RNA (470 nucleotides) under Wolbachia endosymbiont of Drosophila paulistorum. RNAcentral describes it as "bacterial SSU rRNA". It matches the Rfam family "Bacterial small subunit ribosomal RNA", at positions 474 to 944 of the family's 1533-position model. Lineage: Bacteria; Pseudomonadati; Pseudomonadota; Alphaproteobacteria; Rickettsiales; Anaplasmataceae. The record is from RNAcentral.
GGUACUCACAGAAGAAGUCCUGGCUAACUCCGUGCCAGCAGCCGCGGUAAUACGGAGAGGGCUAGCGUUAUUCGGAAUUAUUGGGCGUAAAGGGCGCGUAGGCGGAUUAGUAAGUUAAAAGUGAAAUCCCAAGGCUCAACCUUGGAAUUGCUUUUAAAACUGCUAAUCUAGAGAUGAAAGAGGAUAGAGGAAUUCCUAGUGUAGAGGUGAAAUUCGUAAAUAUUAGGAGGAACACCAGUGGCGAAGGCGUCUAUCUGGUUCAAAUCUGACGCUGAGGCGCGAAGGCGUGGGGGAGCAAACAGGAUUAGAUACCCUGGUAGUCCACGCUGUAAACGAUGAAUGUUAAAUAUGGGAAGUUUUACUUUCUGUAUUACAGCUAACGCGUUAAACAUUCCGCCUGGGGACUACGGUCGCAAAGAUUAAAACUCAAAGGAAUUGACGGGGACCCGCACAAGCGGUGGAGCAUGUGG